RNAcentral lists this transfer RNA (74 nucleotides) under bacterium. RNAcentral's name for it is "tRNA-His". It matches the Rfam family "tRNA". Rfam says of the family: Transfer RNA (tRNA) molecules are approximately 80 nucleotides in length. Their secondary structure includes four short double-helical elements and three loops (D, anti-codon, and T loops). Further hydrogen bonds mediate the characteristic L-shaped molecular structure. tRNAs have two regions of fundamental functional importance: the anti-codon, which is responsible for specific mRNA codon recognition, and the 3' end, to which the tRNAs corresponding amino acid is attached (by aminoacyl-tRNA synthetases). tRNAs cope with the degeneracy of the genetic code in two manners: having more than one tRNA (with a specific anti-codon) for a particular amino acid; and 'wobble' base-pairing, i.e. permitting non-standard base-pairing at the 3rd anti-codon position. The record is from RNAcentral.
GCCGGGGUAGCUCAGUUGGUUAGAGUGCCAGUUUGUGGAACUGGAUGUCGCGGGUUCGAGCCCCGCCCCCGGUA